Molecule: unclassified non-coding RNA, 771 nt
Filed under: Leishmania donovani
Lineage: Eukaryota; Euglenozoa; Kinetoplastea; Trypanosomatida; Trypanosomatidae
Description: gene:unknown
Source: RNAcentral
CAUGCUAUCCGUUGCCACGCGCCACCACACCCCGCUCCACCUUCUCUCACAAAGACCGAGACAACAGCACCAAUGGCCAUCGAGAAUGAGUUCUUGCCGUGUCUGAACAGCUGGCCUCUUCUGUUUGGCAUUGUGAGUGUGCUGCUGGCCUUCAGCGCACACCAGUACAUCAUGCCCCGCGUGCACGAGAUGCGCGCCGCGAGAGGCAGUGCCGCACGCAAGUAGCGACCGUUUCACUGUCGUCGGUGGCAAUACGGAUGAUACCCCCCUCCCCACAAACACACAGCGUUCAUCUUUCGCGCAGAGACGUUGCAGAUCUGGUGCUCGCUGUGUUGCGAGAAACCGUUUCUUGUGGAUGAGAUGUGGCGAGUUUGCCAUCUACGUGCGUGACUGCUGCGUUCUCUCAUGUUGCGAUGCUUGACGCAGGGUGCUGGAACAACGUUUGUAAUUCAAUCGUGGACUUUGAGUUCAACGGGGGCGUUCCACCAGCCACCAUUGGUUGGCUGUUCAACGAUUGCUGUGCGUAACCUCCUUCUCUUGAGAGGUGCGCUGAUGCGGCAGCCAAAGAAGCGAAGCAUCCUGGAAGCUCGACGACGGUCUCUUUGGAGACCCUCUCGCGGUGGUGUGCACAGAAUCAUGGUAUGUUUACGCCAGAGAGUGGCAGACGACAGGGAUGCUCUCUGCACUGAGUUGUCCUCUUGGGUGGGCCACCGUGCAUUUGCGCUCACCUUCUCCUCCAUCUCUCAUACUCCACAAUCGUUGCGGUGAUAG